AGUUAUUAAGAAAUACUUACAGUUGACAUCCACUCUCUACAAUAUAUUUCAGGAGGCUAGAUAGAAACAGAAUUACCACAAUAGAACACAACGCAUUCAGUGGUUUGACAACAUUAAAGACACUGCAACUAGAAAAAAACAGAAUAUCUACAGUAGAGGACAAUGCAUUCAGUAGUUUGACAAAAUUAUACUACAUAUCUCUGGAAAAUAACGAAAUAACUACAAUCAAGAACAGCUCACUUACCGGUUUGACGAGUUUAAAGAAUCUGGAUCUACAAGAUAACAAUAUAUCAACAAUAGAGGACAAUGCAUUCAGAGAUUUGACAAAAUUAGAGAAACUACGUCUUUUUAGGAACAGGAUAUCCUCCAUAAAAAACACUACAAUAAGCGGGUUGACAAAUCUACGAGAACUGAAAAUACAGGAUAAUCCUUAUCACUGCGAUUGCGAGUUAAUAGGCCUGGUCGAUUUCCUUAAAUCUGGACGUGUCCCCGUAUCUGGAGAUCCACGCUGCUUUACUCCUGAGAAUUUGAAAGGAACUUCAUUGGUCAGUCUAUCAGCUGCAAAUUUGACCUGUCCGGACAUAACAACUGUAGACACCACAACUUAUGAAACGAAUUCUUCACCUUUGAAAGAAGGGAACUUUCUGGUUAUAGCAUACAUGUCUUUAUGCUCGCUUGUUAAAACCAUGACUGACUUUUAGAAUAUAUUAAAAAAAGCGAAUACAGAUAUUUAUUUCAAAACAAUUCGAAAGAAAACGCUAACAAUGACUUAAAAUUAAUGAAAACAGUGGACAAACUAUCUAUACCCUUGAAAUAUCAGUGAAUUUUUCGAAUAUGCUCACAUUUCCCGGGAAAUAGUGGGAAAUAGGAGAUACAAGAGAUAACUAUAAAGUUAAUCAUAUUUGGUUGGGUAUAGAUCUGUAGAACAUUAAAGGAUAAGAUUAACAUCUGGUAUAACUGUUUUGGAUUUAAAAAUCUGGUUAAUCCUAGAAUUUUAAAACUUAAACAUAACACAGUUUACUAAAAUUCCUUCCCAUUAUUUCUUUUUGCUCGGGUCAGAUUAUUCUAUAAAGGUCAAUCAAAAACUUA
Saccostrea cuccullata (small rock oyster) is the source of this 1089-nucleotide long non-coding RNA. RefSeq lists it as uncharacterized. NCBI's taxonomy places the organism in Eukaryota, Metazoa, Mollusca, Bivalvia, Ostreida, Ostreidae. The record is from RefSeq and is a predicted model, not a curated record. The transcript has 6 exons.